GCUCAGUGGUAGAGCAGUUGGCUUUUAACCAAUUGGUCGUAGGUUCGAAUCCUACACGACCCACCA
Molecule: transfer RNA, 66 nt
Rfam family: tRNA
About the family: Transfer RNA (tRNA) molecules are approximately 80 nucleotides in length. Their secondary structure includes four short double-helical elements and three loops (D, anti-codon, and T loops).